UUUCCGUAGGUGAACCUGCGGAAGGAUCAUUGUCGAAACCUGCAAAGCAGAACGACCCGUGAACACGUACUUAAAACUGGGGCUGAGGGGUUGCGUUCUCGCUCCCCACUCCCCUUUGUUGGGAUGCACGCGUGAUUGUGUCACCAACAUGGUGACUYGCACGAGUGUACUCCUGGCUUUUAAAACAACCCCCGGCGCGGACCGCGCCAAGKAAUUUUUUAAGAAGGAGCACGCCCCAUUGCCUCGAUACCGGKGUGAGUAGGUGGUUGUGAUGCCUAAAAUGUCUUUAACGACUCUCGGCAACGGAUAUCUCGGCUCUCGCAUCGAUGAAGAACGUAGCGAAAUGCGAUACUUGGUGUGAAUUGCAGAAUCCCGUGAACCAUCAAGUCUUUGAACGCAAGUUGCGCCCGAAGCCAUUUGGCCUAGGGCACGUCUGCCUGGGCGUCACGUACAAUGUCACUCCACCAAAACUCUCCUUGAAGAGCUGGGCGGAGUGGAGAUUGGUCUCCCGUGCAAGACCUGUGCGGUUGGCCCAAAAACAAGCAUCCGACGACAUAACGUCACGACAAGCGGUGGUUGAUUAGCCCAUGUGGUUGCCUCAUCAUGUCGUGUGCGUCAUGUCGGCAGUGAGUGAUUGACCCCAUCACGCCUUUUGGCGCUUCUGUCGCGACCCCAGGUCAGGCGGGAAUACCCGCUGAGUUUAA
Molecule: ribosomal RNA, 704 nt
Filed under: Itea rhamnoides
Lineage: Eukaryota; Viridiplantae; Streptophyta; Magnoliopsida; Saxifragales; Iteaceae
Description: eukaryotic LSU rRNA
Rfam family: 5.8S ribosomal RNA (bases 292-447)
Source: RNAcentral